GAUGAACGCUGGCGGCGUGCCUAACACAUGCAAGUCGAGCGGACAGACGAGGAUUUUGCUCCUCUGACGUUGGCGGCGGGCGGGUGAGUAACACGAAGAUACCUUGCCUUUGGGAAUAGGGUAAGUUAGGGGGACCGAAGCCAGCACCGGAUCAUAUGUUGAAAGGGGGGGUUCAAUAGUGAAAGCGGGUUUUGAUGACCCUGGGCCGUAUUAGCUAGUUGGUGGGGUAACGGCUUACCAAGGCGACGAUCUGUAGCCGGGCUGAGAGGAUGACCAGCCACACUGGAACUGAGACACGGUCCAGACUCCUACGGGAGGCAGCAGUAGGGAAUCUUGGACAAUGGGCGAAAGCCUGACGGAGCAACGCCGCGUGAGUGAAGAAGGUCUUCGGAUCGUAAAACUCUGUUAUUAGGGAAGAACGAAUGUAUAAGUAUCUAUGCACGUCUUGACGGUACCUACAGAGAAAGCAACGGCUAACUACGUG
This 484-nucleotide ribosomal RNA is filed under the name uncultured bacterium. RNAcentral describes it as "partial 16S ribosomal RNA". It matches the Rfam family "Bacterial small subunit ribosomal RNA", at positions 28 to 507 of the family's 1533-position model. The record is from RNAcentral.